UACGUAGGGGGCAAGCGUUGUCCGGAUUUACUGGGCGUAAAGAGCGCGCAGGCGGUCGGAUAAGUCGGGUGUGAAAGCCCCUGGCUCAACCAGGGAGGGUCAUUCGAUACUGUUCGACUCGAAGGCAGGAGAGGGAAGUGGAAUUCCGGGUGUAGUGGUGAAAUGCGUAGAUAUCCGGAGGAACACCAGUGGCGAAGGCGACUUUCUGGCCUGUUCUUGACGCUGAGGCGCGAAAGCUAGGGGAGCAAACGGG
This 253-nucleotide ribosomal RNA is filed under the name uncultured bacterium. RNAcentral's name for it is "partial 16S ribosomal RNA". It matches the Rfam family "Bacterial small subunit ribosomal RNA", at positions 524 to 776 of the family's 1533-position model. The record is from RNAcentral.